UUGGGCUAAUUUAAGCCCAUUUUGGGGUCAAUUCCCUCCAUUUAGGGCCAUUUUGGGCCCAUUUAGGGCCAUUUUGGGCCCAUAUAAACCCAUUUUAAUCCCCUUUUCGGGCCAUUUGACCCUAUAUAUACAUACACUCCCCCCUGCGCCACGCCCCCAAAGUCUCCGGCUAAAUACGGCAAGGGGGGGGGGGGGACAGCAA
This 202-nucleotide long non-coding RNA is filed under the name Coturnix japonica (Japanese quail). Its description in RNAcentral is "lncRNA (ENSCJPG00005002294.1)". Lineage: Eukaryota; Metazoa; Chordata; Aves; Galliformes; Phasianidae. The record is from RNAcentral.